Molecule: ribosomal RNA, 440 nt
Filed under: uncultured Rhodospirillales bacterium
Lineage: Bacteria; Pseudomonadati; Pseudomonadota; Alphaproteobacteria; Rhodospirillales
Description: bacterial SSU rRNA
Rfam family: Bacterial small subunit ribosomal RNA
Source: RNAcentral
CCUACGGGCGGCUGCAGUGGGGAAUAUUGGACAAUGGGGGCAACCCUGAUCCAGCCAUGCCGCGUGAAUGAUGAAGGCCUUCGGGUUGUAAAGUUCUUUUGGUAGGGACGAUGAUGACGGUACCUACAGAAUAAGCUCCGGCUAACUUCGUGCCAGCAGCCGCGGUAAUACGAAGGGAGCUAGCGUUGUUCGGAAUUACUGGGCGUAAAGGGCGCGUAGGCGGUUCGACAAGUUGGAUGUGAAAGCCCAGGGCUCAACCCUGGAAUUGCAUUCAAAACUGUCUUACUUGAAUUCGGUAGAGGUUGGUGGAAUUCCCAGUGUAGAGGUGAAAUUCGUAGAUAUUGGGAAGAAUAUCCGUGGCGAAGGCGGCCAACUGGACCGACAUUGACGCUGAGGCGCGAAAGCGUGGGGAGCAAACAGGCUUAGAUACCCCGGUAGUC